GGGUCAGGCCGGCGAAAGUCGCCACAGUUUGGGGAAAGCUGUGCAGCCUGUAACCCCCCCACGAAAGUGGG
This 71-nucleotide unclassified non-coding RNA is filed under the name Zika virus. Its description in RNAcentral is "RNA (71-MER) from Zika virus (PDB 5TPY, chain A)". Lineage: Riboviria; Orthornavirae; Kitrinoviricota; Flasuviricetes; Amarillovirales; Flaviviridae. The record is from RNAcentral.